CGCGGGAUGGAGCAGUGGUAGCUCGUCGGGCUCAUAACCCGAAGGUCGCAGGUUCGAGUCCUGCUCCCGCUA
This 72-nucleotide transfer RNA is filed under the name Bacteroidota bacterium. RNAcentral's name for it is "tRNA-Met". It matches the Rfam family "tRNA". From Rfam's summary of the family: Transfer RNA (tRNA) molecules are approximately 80 nucleotides in length. Their secondary structure includes four short double-helical elements and three loops (D, anti-codon, and T loops). RNAcentral also lists the same sequence under 1 other name. The record is from RNAcentral. Lineage: Bacteria; Pseudomonadati; Bacteroidota.